Molecule: long non-coding RNA, 11052 nt
Filed under: Homo sapiens (human)
Lineage: Eukaryota; Metazoa; Chordata; Mammalia; Primates; Hominidae
Source: RNAcentral
AGCUUGUGAAUCAGUUGUCCUACUUUCACCUGCACUUUGAAUUCAGCAUGUCAGAUGCUGGCUGGGCUCCAGUGUCCUCUCAUACACCAUGGUGCGUGUCCUUUGAGAAAUUUGUUUUCCCCUCACCACACCAAAGAAUGUUUCACUUGUUUAUCAAGUCACAGCUGUGUUCCAGGUGGUGUUUCUAAUUUGUGUCAAAAACAAGGAAAAGAUGUGUCAACGACAGCAUUUUUUUUCCCAUUCCAGUGACAGGUUAGCACUCCAACUGUUGCUGAUCUGUUGGAAUUUCCUGUUUCCUCUUCCAUGGAAAUGUUUUCUCUUUUUGUAAGUCCAUUAAACCUCUUUCUUUUGUAAAUUGCCCAGUCUCAGUUAUGUCUUUAUCAGCAGCAUGAAUACAGACUAAUACAUCUCCCUUCUCAGAAAAAAAAUAAUAGUUAGAAACAUUUUUUCUCUCAAAGACAUUUUCUUAUUUAUAUAAAUUCUGUCUCUCAAUCAAAUCUGAGUGUCUUUAACAUUCUGUAAGAAGAUUUUUUUUUAAUACACUUUACCCAUUUGCAGUCCAAUUAUUAAUUUGACAGAAAAUCACUCAGGACAACAGAAAUUGAGCCCCUAACACCCACCAAAUAUUUAAAAGUAUAUAAUGUUACUAUGUGAAGAUACUCAACAAAUAUGGAACACAGUUUGUGAUUUCGAAAACUUUAUAACCUACAUUGGGAAGAUAAUAUUCAUUGGAUUUUAGAAUAAGAAAGGAUUAUAAGUCCACUAUUUUCUAGAUGGAUCAGGAAAUAGUCCACCAUCCCAAGAAUAAAAUAGAGGGCAGAAAAAGAUGGUUUGACCACCACAAAAUAAACUAAGUUCCCUUUCCUACUCUCCAAUGAUGUUAUGCUGCACAGAUGAUCAGCAGAGGCGAUUGUGGCAGAUCCUAGCGCAGGUCUCAUGUCGCUGGUCGUAGGCAUCUAAAAUAGGAAGGAGGAGUGCUGCAGAGAGGGCUCCUGCAUGCCCUCCAGCAUCGGAGGCAUGUGAAGGCUGCAGGAAGGGGUGGAACAGGCACUUUGAUGCAGAGGUGCCAAAGGGGUCUUAGAUCAACACACUCAAGCAAGUACAGUGAGAGCUGUGGAACUGUGACUCCUGGACCACAAAGUGAUCCAUCCACAAGAUGAUUUGAGAGGUUUAUAUCAUUUUGUCAUUUGUCGUUUCUGUUUUUUCAGAUAUGACUGGCAGUUACUAUGUGACAUAGCCAAAUCGAUCCAAAUGUAUUAUUAAGUAGCAUUUUUGUUAAUUAAACUUUUAAUUUUAGCUUUGCUGAAAUAUGCUUGUGGUGUGCUUUUUAUAGUCCUAGGAGUAGUGCAAAAGGAAAGCUCUGCCACCUGACAAUUUCCCAUGAAACUAAUGAUCUGUUGGUUGUACAUGGAUGCAAAUGCCACAAGAGCUUUUACUGCUAGAGGAGUGGGAAAUGGAAGAAAAGACCCAGAGAUGAGAGAAUACUAGAAUGGGAUGUAACAUCAUGGUACAUAUUUGAAUUAUUAAAAAGGAUUGAAAUACAUUGCAGCUGAGCCGCAAGGAUAUCAGAGGCCAACACCUACAGAGAAAAAUUCAAUAUUAAACAAGUGAUGGCAGCUUUAAGUUCAAUAGGCAUUGAGAAGUCUCUUUGGGCAGGGAGGGAGCAGAACAGGCACUGAUGAGGGUUAAUAUUCAGUGGAGGUAGAAAAGGCAAUCCGCUAUGAUCCAAGACAUUUUUUGCUCACCUGCUGGAUGAUAUUUAAAAUUUCUUUGACUUUAGUGUUUGGAAUUUUGCUUCAAUGCUUGAUUAAGCAUGUAUUUGUGGGUUUCAAUAGCCAUUCUUUUUCUCCGUACCAGACAGACGGGAGUGAAGCAGUCCCAUUCAGGAGGAGUACCACCAAACCAGUAACCAGAGACAUUCAUUAGGGUCUGCCUAGAUUUGAACAUGUUUGUAAUUAAUAACCUAGGAUGGCUAUUUUUAUGUGUCAACUUGACUAGGCUAUGAUACCCAGAUAUUUCAUCAAAAGCCAGUCUGGAUGUUGCUGUGAACAUAUUUUUUAGAUGAGAUUAACAUUUAAAUCAGUAGACUUUGAAUAAAGCAGAUUGUUCUCCAUAAUGUGGGUGGGCCUUAUCCAAUUAGUUGAAGGCCUUAAGAGAAAAAAAAAAAGACUGCGAUCUCCUAAGGAAGAGAAGAGUCUGUCUCCAGACUGCGUUCAGACUCAAACUACAAUGUCAACUCCUCCCUGUGUCUCCAGCCUGCUGGCUUUCCCUGUAAAUUUCAGACUUGCCAGCACCCACAAUCAUGUGAGCCAAUUCUUACUUUAAAAUCUCUCUCUCUCUCUACAGACACACACACACAUACACACACACACACACACACACACACACACACAUCCUAUUUGUUCUGUUGAUCUGGAAAACCCUGACUAAUACAUAUCCCCUAAAACCCCUUAGGGUUUAGAUCCAGAACUUGAAAUAAAAAGAAAUUUAUUUGAGUGAUGAGAACACAUGGACACACAGCGGGGAACAACACACACUGGGGCCUACCGGAGGGUGGAGGGUGGGAGCAGGGAGAGGAUCAGGAAAAAUAACUGAUGGAUACUAGGCUUAAUACCUGGGUGAUGAAAUAAUCUACACAACAAACCCCCAUGGCACAUGUUUACCUAUGGAAAAAACCUGCACAUCCUGCACAUGUACCCCUGAACUUAAAAUCAAAGUUAAAAAAAAAAGACACUUAUUUGAGUAUAAUAAACUCAGAGAUUCUGAGUAAAUAAUAACAUUUUGUUAAACAAUUUAAAUUAAACCUAAAUAACUGAUUAGAGGAACACUAAAAAUUUUUGAACUAAGUUUUGAAUAUGGGAUCCCAGCAACCCAAUCUUAUGAUCGGGAUUCAUGAUUAUUCUCUUUCCUUUUUACCUUUUUGUUUUAUGGUCUAUUGUCUUGUAAGUUUCUGAACUAAAACUGGUAGUCAGCUUUUGUGGAGGUUUUGCUAUCUCUCCAGAAAUUCCUUAUGCACUCCCUCUGCAUUCUGUCUCUUUCCCGACUAUUCUUUUCUUAGAAAGGAGUAUGUUGUAGUGAAAAGAUCAAGGUCUUUGAAGUAAAAACAAAAAAUGUUCAUUUGAAUCCUGGAUCUGAAGAAAACACCGGCUGUGGAAACUUGUCCAAGUCAUUUAACCUCUCUAAGCCCCAGUUUCCUCAUCCCUCAAGAUCCUCACAAAGAGAGUACUCAGAUUAAAUAAGGUAACAAAUGUUCAGACCCUAGUGUUUAUACAGGAAGGUACUGACUUCCAUGUGAGGUGACUGAAGCCUAGUGAACAAGCUUCUUGGUUUCUUUACUUAAAAAGUCCCUGAUCGUAAAAAUAUCAACAAACAUGUAAUUUAGAAAGCAGAGGACAUCUCUGCUAUCCUUGGCAGCUGCAAAGAAAGUCAGUCAAAAGGAAUAUAUUAUUUCGAUGUAGUCUAACUUCUAUAACAAACAACUCCCCAGUUGCAGCAGCUUGACAUAGUGAAACUGUUAUUUCUUGCUCAUGUCACAGCGCAGUGUGGGAGGAUGGAGGGACUCUGUUCCACAUUCAUUCAUGAACCCAGGCACCUUCAAUCUUGUGGCUCCACCCUCAUAUUGGCCCUUAAAGUUCUUUCAAGGUAGCUAAUGAGAAAAAAGGCAGAAAAGAGAACGUGAUGACCACACAAAGGAAGCGUAUGUAGGUUAUUUCUGCAAGUGGCACGUGUUGCUCCAGCUCAUAUCCAAUUGGCCAGAAUGCCACUGCAUAGCCUUACCUGGAACACGUGGUGUCUCCCUGUGCCCAGGGAGACAAAAACAACAAUGUUGGUGAACUUGGGCAUACAUUCAUCUCAAGAGCCAUAAAGGCCUGUUAGAUUAGAUUUGUUUGUUCUUAACUGUUUACUCGCCGUUACUCAUGCAUAUCCUUUGAUCUGUGUUCAGGCCUUUGAUUUUAUGUAAAUGCCUAGGCGUACACAUUUUCCUAUAAGCCGAACUUAAUAAUGAGAAAAGAGGUAGACCAGAAGUCUCUUAGUGUCUAAAGUAGAAACAAAAAGAUAGCUGUUAAGACAGAAGAUGAAAAAUAGAGAGGCUCAGAGUGCAAAAGGAAAUGAUACAUUUUUUGAGGUCUUUCCCGAUGGGACUUUUCUGUAGGCUGCACAUCAUUGGAAACGCCUCAUAGAGUUAACUCUGUGGUUUUACUUUACUCACAGGACUCUUGUUAGAUCUGUGGGAACUACAAGACAGUUGCUACAAGUAUGAAAAAGACUGUUACUAAAUAUAUGAAAGACCUGAUAAUUUACUUUUUUACCUUAUGUAUUGGCAUAUUCCACACUCUGCACUAUUCUUGAGUGUGAUCGCUUAGGAAUGAAUAUGAUUUGAACUCACUCAGGUUUAGAGAGGGUGUCACAUUGAGAACUAGGCAGAUCCACCUACACUAAAAAUGACCCUAAAGUAAAUUGGUUGAAGAAAUUAGAUCUUAAAGAUUCUUGAUUUUUCCAAAGGUAAAUUUUGAAAUCUUCAUCAGUAUAGCCAUAUUAAAAGGAGAUGACGACAGAUGCCAAAAAUCAAAGAAUUAUGGCCUGACAGGACAACUGCAUUAAAAUAAGCAUCAGUUUCAUUAAAAAGGGCUAACUUGAAGAUAAAUCUUUUGAAGAUAAAUUUUGACUCCAGCUCUUUAGAGGAUCUAAAGUGACCUCGAUGGACAGUGGAAGAACUUACAACAUGGAAUUCCUUGAAUAAAAAUCUAUUGACUUUAAAUAAUUUUGCCUAAUGUUACACACACACAGUUAAAACGAAAACACCUCUUUACACUGUCAAAAAAAGAAGAAGAAAAUGAUAGAUUUUCACAUUGCCCCAUUGAUGCCAUUAAAAAUCUAUAUAAUCACUAGAGUCAAGUAUUAGAAAUGCUAUCUUCUGUGGCCGCGUUCUCUUUCAAGGCCUAUUAGUCCCUAAAUUAUCUCCCUGGGCACAUGGCAACACUACAUGUUCCAGGUAAGGCUAUGUGUUGAGAAACAGUAGUGCUGGCUAAAGCCUCACAGUGAAAUUAACAUCCAGUGAAAUUAAUCUAUUUGCAGGCUGCAAAUGCCUAUAGCAGUUGAUGACUGUGAUGAAAAGUGCUUUCACUUUCAUGGACUAUUUCAAACUUCCAAGAGAAGUUAAGGUGGAAACAAACAUGAGCCAGACUCCCUAGUUCCCCAUCUCUUUUCCUUUCUUCUGGGUCUUAUCCACAUUCUGUACCCUGAAAAAGCCCAGAUCUUCUCCUGUACCUGCCCUAUGUGCUGUCUCCAACCAUCCUUAAAGCAAGGCCUCUGCCAAACACACAGAGUGAGGAGCCACCUAUAUGGCAUGAUGUUUGUCUUGACAUGAGUGGAGACCACAGAGGCUUCCCCACACUCCCUUUGCAGAUCUAUCAGCGUUCUCCUGUACAACUACAGUGCCAGGACACUCCAGUUUUAGCUGCGCGUUGGUGUAGGGCAUUGAAGGCCUCAUAAAAAUUACAGCUAUCUGACAGCACUGAUAGUCAAAGCCACUAUCUAUUAAGUGGUUACUAUAUGCUAGUGACUUUAUAUAUGCUAGGUUAUUAAUCCCACCACAACCCUAGCAGUAUUAUUACUUCCACUGAAAACUGAGUUUUAGUGAGGUUAAGCAAACAACCCAAGGCAGCAUAGCUAAUAAAAGACAGAGCCAGGAUUUAAACCUAAUUCCAUCUGACUCCUCCUACAUGAAACAAUUAUAGCAAACAUUUGUUGAAAGCUUACUACAUGCCAAUCAUUGUUCUGAGCUCCUUACUUGUGUUAACUCAUUUUUUCCCACAACAAUUCUAGGAAGCAAACACUGCUAUUGCCACCUUUUUGCAGAGGAAGGUACUGAGGUGAAGCGACUUGCCCAAACCCUACAAAAAGUAAGUGGUUAGAGCUGGGACUGCAAUCCAGAGCUCUCUGUAUUGAGACCAAUCCACUCUUUUUUUUUUUUUUUUCAUUCUUAUAUGUUUUAAUUGUAAAAUUUUCAAAAAUUCCUACUUCCAUGUCAUCACCUAGAUUUAACGACUAUUGACAUUUUGCUAUAUUUGCUUCAGUUUUUGUUGAAAUACUUUAAAAUAAGUUAACAUGUCAUAGUAUUUUACUCCUUAAUACUUCAGCGUGCAUCUCUAAAGAUGGAUUUUUUUUACAUAAUCACAAUAGCAUUAUCACACCUGAUAAAAUAUAUUACCAAUUCCCUAAUACCAUAUUCAAAAUUCUGUAAUUGUUCCAAAAGUAUCUUUUCUACAGUUGGUUUGUUCAAACUAGUAUCCUGCGAAAAAUCAUGAAUAACAUUUGCUAAUUAUAUAAUUCUAAAACACCUCCUUCCUACUCCCUUUUUGUACCAUGACAUUAAUUGCUAAGGAAUCAAGAUCAGUCUAUAGAAUGAUCUGCCUUCUGGAUUUGUUUAUUUCCUUGUGGUGCUGAUUAAGUUUUUCCUCUAGUUUCUGUGUUUCUUAUGAAGUGGAAACUUUAACUAAAGGCUUGAGUAGAUUCACUUUCAGCAAGAAUGCUUCAUAGAUGAUAUUGCAACUUCAUAUUGUACCACAUUUGGAUCUUCACAGUAACUGGCCAUUGCAUCAACAGCAGUGUCAAGAGCAUCAUAGCAUCGGAUGAUGAUGGACAGAUGCCUCUGCUGCAGAGUUAUGCCCCCGCCCCAACACUCAAUUGGCAAUCAUCUGGGGAAGUCUGUCACAAUGGUCCCUGUCCACCUUUCUUUUAGUGGUUUCAGCAUCUGUCAAAGGUUCUUAUUUGAAUUUCCAUCCUAUCAAGGGCUGCAAAAUGGUGACUUUCUGACCGUAUUAUUGCAUCUACAUUCACAGCUGACAUUCUUCAAUAAAGAAAAGUUUUCCUUCAUCAAGUAGAACUAUUUAGUUAUGCUGAAAUUCAGUAUCUUCUAGAAAGACAUUAAAUCUUUAAUUAUUUUUAAUUCUCAAUUCUCAGAAUAACCAAUUCAUGUAAUAAUCACCUCCAGUGAUGGCAAAUGAGUUUUGUUUUGGAAGACAUUCUCUUUUCUAGUUAUGUACUUGCGGAGUUUUAUAUAUUCAUAGUCAUUUUUAAAUGCUCAGGUUGUCUCACACUUGCCACUGUAUACUCUUCAACUAGAAUGCUACUUAACCCAGAUUAAAAUCCACGUUUCCCGUGUAGUAACUGAGUGACUCUUGCUUCUGUGCCUCUGUCUCUCAGAAAUAAAACUGGAAUUCAAAAUUCUAUAGAGCUUAUAAGAUGGUUGUAGUAAUUAAAUGAGACAGGUCAGCUACCAGGCUUAGCGAAGGCCAUAAACAAAGAAAGAAUGUGACAAAUGUUAGUUGCUCCUAUUUUCAUAUCAUCACCAUCUAAUGCUAAGUCUUCACUAGGGAAGGAAUUAGGGUCUGGAGAUGCGGUGGUAAAGGGAAGAGCAAGGGUCUCAAAUGCUUUAGAGAGAAGAUUCUCACCCAGAACAGUGACACAUGAGGGCUUUGCAGGGCCAGGAACAGGUAAAGAAACUAGGAACCUGGUGAAGGGAAGAAGGCAGGAGGCAGAAUAAAAUAUUCCUGGAAAAAAAUUAUUUUUGUUUGUUUCACAGUUUUCUCAGGGCCUAUUCUAUUCCAAGAUAUCGAAAAGAAUGCUGGUGAAACUAGAGCUAAGUGGCUGUCUCAGAACCUACCAGAGUAGAGAGGUCAGGUCAUUUCUAGGCUUCAGGUGGCUUGUCCACCUGUCCUGCCAGCCCAGUCUCAGUUUGGGCAUUAGCUGAUGGGCUAAGCUGCUUGUUUCAUGCUGGUCUGUAAGAAGAGCUUACAAGUGGGAAGACAAGUUCAGCAUCAUCUUCAAAUGACAAUGGUCAUAUGAAAUACUAAAGAUAGUUUCCUGUAAAAACCUCCCACAGAAACGAAAAGUUUUUAAAUAAAACAUGUCAUCCAAAAUUGUAAAGUGAGAAAGAUUGUUUUCAUCUCAUGUCUUUGAAUUGUAUUGUGAGAGGUAUUGGUCUUCUUCCACCAAUCCAAAGUUAAGGACAAAUAAAUUUCAUUGUAUCGGAAACUUUGGAGGAAAAAUUUGAUGCUAUUAUUUUCCUUCCAUGGAAAUUUUAUUCUGGGGAUAUAUUUCCGUAGCAAAUGCAUAGUAGUUGCCAAAGAAACAAGUUAAUAGUAGGCUUGAUAAGAGGGAUUUCUUAAAAUGAAGAGCCGUUUUAUCCUCCCCACCAUGUCUUUCCCUUUCAGAAUACUUGCUGACUCACCCCAGCCUCCCAGAACAUAAACGACGGUGUUAUAGCCACGAAAUCCUACAAAAACCACUUCACUUCCGAGCAUGUACACACAUAUAUGUGUGCGUGGAAUGUGCGCAUGUGUGUUUAGGGGGUGGAAGUAAGGGCUUUCCUUCUUUCUCUUUUUAUUCUCUUUUUUUUUUUUCAGACAGAGUCUUACUCUAUUGCCCAUGCUGGAGUGCAAUGGCGCUAUCUCCGCUCACUGCAACCUCCGCCUCCCGGGUUCAAGCGAUUCUCCUGCCUCAGCCUCCCAAGUAGCUGGGAUUACAGGCACCCACCACCAUGCCCGGCUAAUUUUUGUAUUUUUAGUAGAGACGGGGUUUCACCAUGUUAGCCAGGCUGGUCUCAAACUCCUGACCUCGCUAUCUGCCCGCCUCAGCCUCUCAAAGUGCUGGGAUUACAGGUGUGAGCCACUGGGCCUGGCCUAUCUUUUUAUUCCUUAAUAAAAAAUGUUUGUUUCCUCACAACUUGACAGGAACUGGCUCUGAGAUUUACAGAAAUAACUGAAGGGAUAUCGCUCAUGCAAAUUAUCCUGCUUCUUCAUUAGCUGUGGUGCUCACAACAGCCAAAGCUCUCCGUCCUCCCUCUUUUUAGGUCAUGUUAGGCUUUCCUUUAUAAUCAUAUUCAGUGGACUAGCAUGCCUCAGUAGAAUGUUGAGUGACUUGAAAAAUACUUGGCUACCAGACAAGAAAGUAAAACAAAAGCUACGUGUGUAACGUUUAACAAAGGAACAUUCAGAAUCUUCCCUCUGGGAGAAACAAAGCAGCAAAGAACACCCUCGUCCUCCUCUCCCAAAUAAAAACUGGGAGAAAACAUCCUGGAAAAUAAAUGCCAACACCAGAAGCCAGUUACUAGGAAGAAACAUGAUGAAGUUUUAAACCAUUUACUCUCAUUUUGUUCUUUUAAACCAAGGCCACUAAUAACCUCAGAAAUGUCGACUGAUUAUCUUCUUUCUGCUUGGUUGGUAUAUCUGUACCAAAAUGUUCAGAUGGAAGGUAAACAAAGGCCUAGCAGCUCAGAUUUUUUAAAAUUUGAACUGGAACUCAUUUAUUUGUAUUUCAAAAUUCCGAGGCAGAUUACCUGGAAGACAUCCAAAACCUCAGAAGCCAAAAGUUCUGCCAAGCAUUUUUCAGCUUGGUAAUCGGUAAUAUAAUACAGCCAGAUCAUUAAAGAAAUCCUGUUCUGAAUUCCCUUGAAGUUUCUAAGGCAAAGUUUAAACAAAAAUUAUUUCCUUCAGAGUCUCCUAUGCAUGAUAAGUUUCCAUCUGUGCAUAAGGAAACAGCAUAGUAGAUUAGACACCUUGACUAAGAACAAAUAAACACAACAAAAAUAAACGUACAUUGCAUUUCUCUCUAGACCUGCAUGGCUGUGUAUUCACAAAGCAAAACAUUGUAUAUCUUUCGUCUCUUAGGAAGAAGUUGUUUAUUACUCCUUUGCUUUGUCAUGGCCAUCUUGCUCAUUUACUUUUCAAUAAUCACAUAUUGAAAACCCACUCUGAAGAAGGUGCUGUGCCAGACACCAUGUAAAGAGACAAAGAUGUAGAUACACAGACUCUGCGCAUGUGGGGCAUAAUAUAUAGUGGUGGGGAGGAGGAGAAGAUAUAUACAGAUAGGUAUUAAACCAGGUGGAAGGUGUUGGGAAAAAGUACCUUAGGAAAGGCAAGAUGAGAUGCUCUGGAUGUCCGGAGAAAGGUAUGUUAAUUAGAAUGAAGAGGUCAGGAGAGAUUUCAGGAAGGAGGUGGAAUGAGAGCUGCAUCAUGAAAGGAAGGUGGGAUGUGGACAAAGUGGAGAAGGUCUUAGAGUACCAUGGUGCUUCAUCAAGUGCCUUGUUGCCUAAAGUGUUCUGCUUCUUUCCAACCUGUGUCACGUGUAAGUCCAUUUAUACACUUAAACCAAAACUGAGUACAUGAGAACAUAUAUUUCUCACCCACACAUUAAAAUCAAGUUGAGGCCGGGUGCAGUGGCUCAUACCUGUAAUCCCAGCACUUUGGGAGGACAAGGUGGGCAGAUCACUUGAGGUCAGGAGUUCAAGAGCAGCCUGGCCAACAUGGUGAAACCCCAUCUCUAUUAAAAAUACAAAAAUUAGCAGGGAGUGGUGGCAGGUGCCUGUAAUCCCAACUACUCAGGAGGAUGAGGCAGGAGGAUCACUUGAACCUAGGAGGCGGAGGUUGCAGUGAGAUCGUGCCACUGCACUCCAGCCUGGGCAAUAGAGCGACGCUCUGUCACUAAAUAAAUAAAUAAAUAAAUGAAACGAAGUUGAAUAUUAUCUCACAGUUCUAUACAAUCACAGUUUGCUUUUUAUGCUGCUAUUUAUUUUUUCCAUCUAAGUUGUCUUAGUGCACCAUCUCCUUAAAUUAACUACCAGAAAACAGGUGAAACCCAUGAAACCUAGUGUUUUAGUGGAGCCAUCCACUACUCAAGACCAAUGUGGGAACCGCAGUCUGAAUUAUUUGACCUCAUCAAUAAGCACAUUCCCACUUUGCCUAUGAAGGGUGCUUAUAGUAAAGAAUCAUCUCUUAGCCACUGUUCCACUGUGUCAAUCUAUGGAAAAAUCAAAACGCACUUACUGCACUGUGCCAGGUGCUGGAUUUAUAACCACAAAAACAGAGGGGCAGAAUGUCUGCAUUUCCAGUGGGCAAGACAGACAAUGUGCCUAUCUGUGCAUUUCCUUGUAAAAUCCAGCUUUCGCAAGAGCAUGAACAAAUCAGUUUGGCAAGACCUCCCCACCCUCAACAUCUGAUCACGUGUCUCAUCCUCCAUGAUGCCACAGGCUUGGCUGAAUAGAAAAUGAAC